UUUAACAAGUGACAUCAAUAAGGAAUCAUAGCUUUCACCUGAAUUCACCUGCAGACGGUGGGAAUUGCAUGUUCUUCAAAAGCUCUUUUAUUCCAAGGACCUGGAGAAGAAGCACUGUAGCAGCUUCGGAGACUGAGGUAAACAUCUGAAAUCUGCCGCUCGCUGCAGAGUGCAGGGGGGGUCCCGUGCUGGAUCUAAAAGGCUGGGAUGGUUCAUUCCUUGGCUGCCGGACAAUGCCAGAG
Long non-coding RNA from Salvelinus namaycush (lake trout), 242 nucleotides. RefSeq lists it as uncharacterized. The record is from RefSeq and is a predicted model, not a curated record. NCBI's taxonomy places the organism in Eukaryota, Metazoa, Chordata, Actinopteri, Salmoniformes, Salmonidae. The transcript has 3 exons.